UACGGGGGGGGCAAGCGUUGUUCGGAAUUACUGGGCGUAAAGGGCUCGUAGGCGGCCAACUAAGUCGGAUGUGAAAUCCCCAGGCUCAACUUGGGAACUGCAUCCGAUACUGGAUGGCUUGAAUUCGGGAGAGGGAUGCGGAAUUCCAGGUGUAGCGGUGAAAUGCGUAGAUAUCUGGAGGAACACCGGUGGCGAAGGCGGCAUCCUGGACCGGUAUUGACGCUGAGGCGCGAAAGCCAGGGGAGCAAACGGG
This 253-nucleotide ribosomal RNA is filed under the name uncultured bacterium. RNAcentral's name for it is "partial 16S ribosomal RNA". It matches the Rfam family "Bacterial small subunit ribosomal RNA", at positions 524 to 776 of the family's 1533-position model. The record is from RNAcentral.